This 211-nucleotide ribosomal RNA is filed under the name uncultured bacterium. Its description in RNAcentral is "partial 16S ribosomal RNA". It matches the Rfam family "Bacterial small subunit ribosomal RNA", at positions 524 to 734 of the family's 1533-position model. The record is from RNAcentral.
UACGUAGGGGGCAAGCGUUGUCCGGAAUCAUUGGGCGUAAAGCGCGUGUAGGCGGCUCGAUAAGUCUGCUGUGAAAGUCCAAGGCUCAACCUUGGGAUGCCGGUGGAUACUGUCGAGCUCGAGUCCGGAAGAGGAGUGUGGAAUUCCUGGUGUAGCGGUGAAAUGCGCAGAUAUCAGGAGGAACACCGGUGGCGAAGGCGGGUCUCUGGGC